RNAcentral lists this ribosomal RNA (253 nucleotides) under uncultured Lachnospiraceae bacterium. Its description in RNAcentral is "partial 16S ribosomal RNA". It matches the Rfam family "Bacterial small subunit ribosomal RNA", at positions 524 to 776 of the family's 1533-position model. The record is from RNAcentral. Lineage: Bacteria; Bacillati; Bacillota; Clostridia; Lachnospirales; Lachnospiraceae.
UACGGAGGAUGCGAGCGUUAUCCGGAUUUAUUGGGUUUAAAGGGUGCGCAGGCGGCCUGUUAAGUCAGCGGUAAAAGCCCGGGGCUCAACCCCGGGGCUGCAUUGGAAACUGGCAGGCUGGAGUGCCGGAGAGGCAGGCGGAAUUCCUAGUGUAGCGGUGAAAUGCGUAGAUAUUAGGAGGAACACCAGUGGCGAAGGCGGCCUGCUGGACGGUGACUGACGCUGAGGCACGAAAGCGUGGGGAUCGAACAGG